GAAAUGCGAUACGUAAUGUGAAUUGCAGAAUUCAGUGAAUCAUCGAGUCUUUGAACGCACAUUGCGCCCCCUGGUAUUCCGGGGGGCAUGCCUGUCCGAGCGUCAUUGCUGCCCUCAAGCCCGGCUUGUGUGUUGGGUCUCGUCCCCCUCCCCGGGGGACGGGCCCGAAAGGCAGCGGCGGCACCGCGUCUGGUCCUCGAGCGUAUGGGGCUUUGUCACCCGCUCUGUAGGCCCGGCCGGCGCCUGCCGAUCAACCAAUUUCUUUCCAGGUUGACCUCGGAUCAGGUAGGGAUACCCGCUGAACUUAA
RNAcentral lists this unclassified non-coding RNA (308 nucleotides) under uncultured Penicillium. Its description in RNAcentral is "sequence contains ITS1". The stretch from base 1 to 105 matches the Rfam family "5.8S ribosomal RNA", at positions 50 to 154 of the family's 154-position model. Lineage: Eukaryota; Fungi; Ascomycota; Eurotiomycetes; Eurotiales; Aspergillaceae. The record is from RNAcentral.